Molecule: ribosomal RNA, 5424 nt
Filed under: Triticum aestivum (bread wheat)
Lineage: Eukaryota; Viridiplantae; Streptophyta; Magnoliopsida; Poales; Poaceae
Description: partial small subunit ribosomal RNA
Source: RNAcentral
GGAGGGGUGUGAGCGGCGGGGCGGGCGCGCAGGAGCGCAGGGUCGGGGAGGAGGAAGGAGAAGAGCGCGCCAGCGCGGAGGGAGGCUUGGGAGCUAGGCGCGGGCGGAGGGACGGGGUGCGGCGGUAGUAGAGGCGGCCGCGGGCUGAGGAGGCGACGGAGGAGAGGUGGCGGGACGCUUCCUGGACAUCUUUCGCCGUGCGGGACAGCCCUUCGCCCGCCGCGCGCGGCAGCGGGGUCCUACGCGCGCCUGUUGAGAGAGCACAACUGCGGGGGUGAGGGAGGCGAAGAGGAGCAGCGGAGGGGAGCGCGGUGGCAGUGGCAGGCUCUUCGUGGCGCCGGUGAUGAUGAGACGUAGCACGGCUCGAACGGUGGCGGCGGCGAGAGGGCCAGCUCGAGCAGGGAGUGGUGGCCGGGAGUUCAACACCUCCCCGUUGUCCGUCGCCACCUGCUCCUUUAGAUGGUGGUUGGCGGCGGCGUACAGAAGGACGAAGCGGUAGUUGCGCUCCUCGUGGCCUCGCACAGGAGUUCAACCACGAGGAGGCCCUUCUCCUGUUGGGCUCUAGACAGUACCUCCAGUUGGGACUGCAGCCGGAACAGCCUAACCUCGCCGUCACGCCACCAACCAGAUGACACCGCCGAGCGACCUCCGUCGUCGUUGGGUUAGCCGUGGCGGUAGAGGAAGGGAUAGGUACUCGGUUGGAGACAGAAGGAGGGGCUGCCGCCGCAGCUUGGUUGUGACCCAAUACGAUGGGAACCGGCACCGGAUUGUGCGCGCCUGACUUCGUAACCAGUCCGUGGGUGACGAACCGACGUGCAGACCCAGUAGAGUCUAUUCGAUUAGAUAGAGAAGAAAUUUUAUUCUAGUACACGAAGAGACUAGGCCAACAUCAUUCAACAUGUUCCGGAAUCGACCAACAGUCCUCCUUGGAAGUGGAGUACCGAUUUUGAACCCAUUUUGACACCCGUAUGUUUUAUGUAGAAACAAAAACAACGGAAUAUUUGUACCGACACUUUCUUGGCUUAUAACCUUUUGUUGACAUAUAGUUAAGAGUGAAUGAGACUAUAAAGACUUUCACUUUCCCUACUUCCUAUCACAUCACUCGUCUCUUGUGUGUCCAAUACAACUUUUAAAACCAGCUUCAAUGUCAGGUAAUCGACCAUCUUUAUAUCGUGUUGAUCGUACGGAUCUACGUGUGUUGCAACUACCAUUAUUCUAUACGAACCGUUGAUUGAUUGUUUUAGUCUAAUAAGUAAAGUAUUUACAUCUUUUUUUAUUCAUACCAGAAGUGUUGCACAGAAGAAGAUACUAAGCCAUUGAACGUAAGGUUAGAAUAAACAGAAGAAGAGUAACCCGUACCACAGAAAUCUAAUAGUUUCCCCUAACACAUACCGACAACUGUUAGGUCUAACACCCGUCGAUUCUCCAAUCCUAAUCAGUACAUUUAAAAACGAAUAUUUAUUAUAUUAUUGCGUCAUCAUCGGGGAGCAUGAUAAAAAACAGUUUUUACCACACUAUGAUUCUAAAAGUGAUGUCAUGGUAGACAUAGAUUACAUUGAGCCGAUAUCCAAUAGGCUUCAUUACUACAGAUAGUGAGACCAACUAAACGCUAUACCAUAAUACCCAGGUAUACGUGGACUCGAAACGAUGAAGGAGACUAAUGGUACUUGAGACAUGUGUACUCGUACGGAUACGGUAACAGUUCACGAUGAGGUUUGUGGUAAAUGACGAACUUUUAUAGAGAGUUGAACCUAUCUCGUAGGACAUUCCAGGUAUAAAUGAGUUGUACUAAAAAAAAUGAUACUCCUGGGAAUGAAGAUCGUGAUCCAAAACUAACAGACAACAAAACAUGUAGAAAAUGGUUAUACUAAAAUUAGAAAUUUUUUCUAGUAUAAGAUCUGAGUGUUGUUUAACCUAUCUCGUAGGACGUUCCAGACACUCCACGUCUACUAUAAAGUCACGAGUCACACGUCGAAUAAAACAUCUGUAGCGCCAAAGUCAAACGUUAUAAUCUGGAUGAACAUAGUUCCAUCCCAACUGGUAUUGACUUGAAGCUUAAACAAAUAUGUCAUAUGUAAUACGCGAAGUAGGUUAUUUUUAUACUUUACGUACACAACGAAACCGAGAGAAUUAUCGUUAAUUAACGCAUAUAAGUUGACCGGAAGACCAACUGAUCGUAUUUACCAGUAUAAGAUAAAAACUACACUCGAUAGGAGGAUAAGUACAGGACCUCCGAAACGAAGGGUCCAAAUAACGAAAACGUUAAAUUUCAAAACUUCGUGACGGAGUGUCAAAAAAUUAAUGAUAAUUGUAAUGUUUGACCCUAAGCUUAUAGUACCAAAAGGUGACCCUUUAUUAUCGUGUAAAUCGAAACAGACUGGAUAAAUAAUAGCUAAUUACAUUGUGAAAUGCUACAUCUACGACCGUUACCCGGCAAUCGAUGCGCGAAUAUCAAACGUCAAUACGUGUGGUCCAAGGAUACAUCCGAAUUGUACUUAAACAAAGAAUUGUACUUGUACGAAUAAAUACAACGUCUCCCCUUUUGAAGAGACAAGACAGGUGACGGAUGUAUGUUCGACGUACUGUUUCCCAUACACCUUCUGACCUAAACUAUAAUAGUACCUUACUAUCGAUAAUCGCACAAGGACCGAGAGCAAACGACAAUAAGGAAGUAUUAACGUUGUUUCCUACGUUUAGUUAUAGAACGAGACGGAUACGACACGUCACCGGAUUCACAACCUGGUGGCCCACCUAUCCCUUUCGCACAUUACACGGUCCCGCAUUAGACACAGCGACGAGGCGUAUCUCCUCGUGUGGUAGCUCUACCGGGUUUUACCUUUGUGGCAUCCGGUGUUGAGACCACCCCCGGAAGUACCAACGACUGCUGGUCUACGGUGGUACCAGAGGCUACAGCAGUACCGGGAACGGCGGUCGGGUGUUGUGUCACGGCUCGUCCCCCACACCGGCCGCCACCAGUAACUAUAGAAGUCGUCGCAGCCCACAACCGGUGAACGCGACCACCGAAAGAGGGCGAAAACCAUACUGACUAAUUGUCUUUUUUUUAGCACCGGUAACCAGUGGCGAAAAGUAGUUCUACUAAGACAUAGUAACAUUAUCACUCUGAAAUGAUGUGGGUAAGACAGCCAUCUUGUAAGAGAAUCCUCUAACAAAAUAAACAAAACCAACCCUAUAUGAUUUCCGACACAUGGAUACCUUUCUUUUUUCUGUGAAAGUUCAAAACAUACAUCAUGAACUACAUACAGAGUUCAUAUCGAAUAUUACUAGGAUGAGAAUCAUGAACGAGAGAGUACAAAUACGAGAAUCAUGACUUAAAUCAUAGUCCAUUAAUCGAAAACACUAGAGUACUUGUCUGACUUGAACUACGCCGGAAUAUUAGGGUACUGGUACAACUUUAACUACUACAGAACGAAGAGUAUGGUCACUUACAAAGAAGCAAGAGAACCUGGUCUAUUAAGUAACAGGACAACUUAUACUCGCGAUUUGAUACGAGGGAUGAUUUAAAAAAUUUCCACGAGGGAUGAUUAAACUAGUGAUAGAUAAAAUGGUGUAACUACGCUGUCCGUGGGGCGCGGUUCCGCGUGACAGCUAGAUCACCUAUCACUUAGGUCCUCGAGCUCUACGUUAGAGCACCGUAGAAAACACGACAUGAUGUGACGAGGUACUGAACCACCAGGCCUCUUCUCUCCUGUUGACGUGCUGCUACUACGUACGUUAACGUCGUUGGCGCGCCUCUGCUACGUGGCCCAGAAGUGUCGUCUUUCGAGAAAAAUGGCCACGACCAUACAUGGCUGUUUGGUAAGUGGCCAGUAAAACGAGCACUAAGCACAACACCACAUCAUGUUUCAACUCAGUAGAUAAAAUUUUACCUCCCUGAUAUUCUCACGUAAACACCGCCAAUUAGGAAACAUAUAUCAAUUUAGUUACAGUCUAAUUAUCCCGGGUGCAGUCAGGGAAAAUGUCACCUUACAUGUGUACGUACGUUGUAGAGAGGAGAGAGAGAUGGUUUGUUUAGGUACGUAAAAUAAAAACAAAUGUAAAAAUCUACGGGUUUUAAAAAUGUUGUUACGAAGUAACAAAUUAAAAAAGUAUAUAAGUUUAAGUACUUGUAUUCUAGAAAUCUUAUUCUGGUUAGAACUUAUAUAAAUUUGAUCAAAUUAAAAAUGAUAAAGUUAGUAUACUUUAUAAUUAAAGUGAAUAAAGUUUAAACUUAAAAGUUUUAUUAACUUUAGUCAAUAACUUUACUAACUUUGUUGAAAAGACUUGUAUCAAAAGAAUUCUACAACUUUGGUCAAACACACUUUAACUAAUUAAGUUUAUGUAACAUGUUUUUUUGAUACUUUAAACUCUAACAUUUAUACACUUUAACUUACAAAGUAACACACUUUAACUAAUUAGUCAAUACACUUUAACUCAAUAAACUUGUAAUAGUGUGUUAACUUACAAAGUAACACACUUUAUACACUUUAACUUACAAAGUAAUACACUUUAAAAUUUUAAAACAAAAAAGUUAACACGCUAAGAUUACACAAAAAAGACCUGGAUCACUUCACUCACUUUAGAUAGAAUACAUUACUGACAUUAAUCAAAAAAAUUUUGUUCACUUUAUAUCAUAAAGUUAACUCACUCACAUUACACAAAAUACUUUACUCACUUUACCCACUUUAUUCAAUAAACCUUUUUCACUUUAUAUGGAAAAACUACACUUUGCCGAAUAAAGUUACAAACUUUGACGAUAUCACUUUAUGCAAAGUUAUAUAAAAGCAUUUAUGCUUCACUUUAAUCAAAAACUCUAUAUGAAAAAUUACUCACUUUAGUAAAAAACUUAACACACUUUAUACAAAAAGUUUAUUAAAUUUAGUCAAGAAACGUAGCUCACUUUAGUUAAAGUUUUAUACAAAAGAGUUGACUUACUUUAAUAAAAGAAGUAUGUUUACUUUAUAGAAAGAAAUCUACUCACUUUAACCAAAGAACUUGUAUUUCUUUACUCAAAUAAAAAAACCUUAUUAACUUUAGUUGAAGGACUAUACCCGCUUUGACCAUAAAAUUUUGCUGAUUUUAGAUACAAAAUAUUACACAUUUUUAUACAACAGAGUUGACUCACUUUAUACAAAAGAGUUGACUCACUUGAAUGAUAAAACUUUAAACGCUUUGUCCUCCUUUGUUAAAACACUUUAUCGCUUUAUUAGAAUACCAAAUACUUUCACUAAGGUUUCUAUUGACUUUAUAUUUUUAAGUUUUCAACAAGUUUAUAUACCUUCUAACUAGAACAAAAUUUCCAGAACAGUCGUACUAAAGUUUAUAUAUUUUUCAAAGUUUUUAUCUGUCAACGAAAUUUUAUAUAGUUAGUAAGUUUUAUAUACCUACUUUAUUUUACGUAGAGUAAAUAUACCCCUCUCUCUUAGU